AUUUAAGUAGUUUAAUUAAAAAUAUUAAUUUGUGGGAUUAAAGAUAUAAAAAUAAUUUAUUUUAAAUU
RNAcentral lists this transfer RNA (68 nucleotides) under Pheidole flavens. Its description in RNAcentral is "tRNA-His". Lineage: Eukaryota; Metazoa; Arthropoda; Insecta; Hymenoptera; Formicidae. The record is from RNAcentral.